Molecule: long non-coding RNA, 3221 nt
Filed under: Mus musculus (house mouse)
Lineage: Eukaryota; Metazoa; Chordata; Mammalia; Rodentia; Muridae
Description: long non-coding RNA chr14:117203792-117207013
Source: RNAcentral
AAUUGGGAUACUCUGAAAGUCAUACAAGAAGCAUCUGUUCCAACAAGUAUGUUGAUUUUGCUGUAGGUGACAAUUUGAUAAGUAUACUACAUGUUCUUAGGGGCCAAGUGAUUUUUAGACAUGCACCAUCAUUGCAUAGAACAGUGGAGUAGUGCCAAAGUUUAUACAUUCUAAGAGAUGGUGUUCAUGGCAUGUCAAGAUUAGUUGAAUGGCCUUUUGUGUUUUCUCUUCCAGAAGAAAUUUUUAGAUCACAAUAAAAUGCUUUGUUAAGCAGAGCUUUUCAUUUUCUGAGGAGUUUUCCUUCCUGUGCUGAACUGUAAGACCUCAAAAAUGUUUUGGUUCUCCUUUUCAUGUUAAGUUCCUUAUAUUUCAUGCCUAUAGAGGAAAUAGCCUAUUGUCGAUGAGACUCCAUAAAAGGAAAGCAGACUACAUUGGCAAGAUCGCCAGUCAGUUAGGAGAAAAUUGUCAUGAACCCAUUAGGUCAGAGUCGGAUACUACCUGCAGCCAUAGAGAAGGCAACUGAAAUGGCUACUGUAUUUCAUAUAUAAGAGGGAUAACAUUCAGUAAAGACAGUGAAUAUCUAGAGACGGCAUAUACUAUACAAUUUCUUAUUCACUUGAGUGAUUUUUUUGAUGGAAAAAAAAAGUAGUUGAUGAUCCCAACACUGAAACCUUAUAUUUUACACAGUAAGUAUCAGAGCCAAAUAAGUGAUACCAUGUCAGAAAUUAAAAGUAACGCCGGGAAUUUUUUAAGAUAUAGCCAAUAUUAUGGAUAAGUAAAUAAUUCAUAUGGAAUAGAUUUUCCUUUGAUAAAAUAGAUUUCAAGUUUUGCCUAUGAAUGGGUUUGUAGAGUAUAUGGGAUUUUUCCCCAACCAGGACUUCCAAUUACUGAUUAAAAUACCACAUUUAAUCCCCCCCCAUCCUCACCUUUUUACUGAAAAGACAUUCUAACAUGAAAGGGGAAAUGCCAUCGAGCCAUAACCAUAGAUUGUCCUCUAAUGGAAAUAAGGCCGGUACAGUGAAAAAAGUUUUCAAAGUUAACCAAGAGUUAACCAAAAUUCAGCUUACACACUAGCGAAGGAUGUGAAUAGGUAAAUGGAAAUGAAGGGCAGAUAGGGUGGCUCAGAUUGAGAGGCCACCCAGAGGGGACAGGACUAGGUCGGAAUGAGUUGCCACCCGUAUUCCACUAGUUCCACUAGUGUAUUGUAGAGCCAGAUGCCUCUUCUUCAAGUGACGAAGCUGAGAAACUAUCAGAUGUGUUCAAAAUUACACCCAUCAUCGAACACAUCUACAUACUCCAAUGAGCAUAAAAAAUGUAUUAAAAUUUCUGUUCUGCAUCCCUUGUUUGUCCAUUUCUAUCACUAACCCUUUAAUUAAACUUGAUCUUCUUAUGUGUAAUCCAUUUCAUUUUUUAGGAAGUUCUAUGUGCCACCCUUCCUGAGUUGAUAGACAUGAGUCUUUUUUUUUUUUUAAAUAAUGUGUAGCAUCACAUCAAUUGUCAAUACUGUACUUUAUAGGAACUAUUUUUAACAGUAUGUUCUUAAAGUAUCACAAUAAUAUUUCGAUGGAGAUUUUGUCAUUAAUUUAACAACACAAUGGGCUUAUAAUCCCCAUAGUUAUUAUAAGUGUGCUUAUUAUUGUUUUACACGCACACACACACACACAUAUCCUUAGCCUUGAUAUCCAAACUUGUGCCCUUUACUUCAGUGAAGCUGUGACAGCUAUAAUUUAUCAAAAUGAGAUAACCCUGAAAUAAGAUUGGCUCUUAACUCAAUAUGAUUGGUAUGAAUGGAAAAGAAAUAGAAAAGAUUACUAGCUGGAGUGAUAAGGGUAGAGAUUCAGGGGAUAAUAUCUAUAUGGCUGGGAUUAUGCGGAGGUACUGAAGUCACCCACAAGCCAAGAACAGGUGAAAAAGAUAAGUCCAUACACAUUUCCAUGGAUUCAUGGUCCAGUAACAAUUUGGUAGUAUGUUCUGUGCAAACUUAUUUUAAAUCAUGUGCUUUACUGUUCAUAUUUCAUUAGCCAUACAAAACUAACCCCCAUACUAUAUGAUUGAACAGUUGUAAGUGUGAAAUGCAGUAGUUUUCAGAAUUUGUAGAAUUAUGAAACUAUUGCCACAGUUUAGGGAUAAAAUACUACACUACACCCAGAAGACCCUUAGCCAUAUGUAGGCAUUUCCUUUUCUUCCCACCUGCCCCUCAGAACUGUUCACCUGGGAUCUGCCUCCAUUUGCCUGCUGGAUUUGGUAUAAAUGAAAUCAAAGGCAGGUGUUGUGCCUUUAUCUUUUUCAACUGAUAUUAAUUUUGUGGGCUUCACCCAUGUUCUAUUUUUAUUUUGUGAGAACAAGUUAAUUUUUGUCUAGAAUAAUCUAUAUAUAAUAUUAUGCCUUUGGAACAAGCAAAACAUGUUGAGCGAUUGCAACUGUCAGUUAUAAUGGCACCUAAAGUCAGUUGAUGUGUCUAUAUUGAAAUACUAUUCCAUAUUUUCUCAUUUAGUGCCUAUUAUACUGGCUUGUGUCAGAAUCAAUUGAAGGUCUAUUAGAAUGCAAGUAGUCAGCUGUCUACAUUGUCAUAGAUGACAACCUACAUCCUAAUUGUCACUGCCUGACUGAUAUAAGUGGUCAGCUGUCAUUUGAUUAGCUGUCACACCUAGGGCUUUGUAGUCCAACAGCCUGAGUGGGAAUCUGAAGAAGCCAUAGGCAAAGAUGGGAGAAUGCAAGAAAAUCAGUUACAGGUUCAAUGACCACUCAGAACAUCCCGUGCAGAUUAUAACCUCUCAGUUCUCAGCUCGUUAAAUGAAAAAGCAGACUGAAAGGAAACAAUUUCUAGUCUCUACAGUUCCUUGGAGAUGGCACUUUCUUAAAAAGAGGUAAGAGACCGUGACCUCAAAUGCGAUGUGGUUCAGAGCUGAUGCUGAGUGAGUGCACUUUUGAAUUUUAUCCUGUAAACCAAAAGCUCUCAGCAGCUUCCCUAGUCCACAGAAGGCAGGGGUGAUAGUCAUCCAGCCUUAAAUAUGGCCUACAAGGAUAUCUUAGAAUACAGGCCACUUAGGGAAGUAAGAGCCACCUCUCCCACCUAUCUCAAGAUAAAGAGGACAGGGCUUAAUGGAGAUAACACCAGGCCUAGAUGUGGAUCGUUCCUGUAGUCCUGGAGCUGUAGCUCAAUGGCAGAGCCCCUGCCUAGCAUGCACAAGGGUCAGAGUUCUAGUCCCAGUGACACCGUG